UUUUUCUUUUUAGUAUAAUGCAUGAGUCUGACGAGUCACCGAAUAUAGUAGAUCUUUAGUAUAAUCUAAUCUCCCCAUACCUUUUAGCCCCACCAAAAUUUUUUUGUUUUUUCUUUUUAGUAUAAUGCAUGAGUCUGACGAGUCACCGAAUAUAGUAGAUCUUUAGUAUAAUCUAAUCUCCCCAUACCUUUUAGCCCCACCAAAAUUUUU
RNAcentral lists this long non-coding RNA (210 nucleotides) under Lathyrus oleraceus (garden pea). Its description in RNAcentral is "Pisum sativum (pea) long non-coding RNA (PSAT_LNC012202)". Lineage: Eukaryota; Viridiplantae; Streptophyta; Magnoliopsida; Fabales; Fabaceae. The record is from RNAcentral.